GCCUUACCAUGCAGUCGAACGGCAGCACGGGGGCAACCCUGGUGGCGAGUGGCGAACGGGUGAGUAACAUAUCGGAACGUGCCCUGGAGUGGGGGAUAACUAGUCGAAAGACUAGCUAAUACCGCAUACGAUCUACGGAUGAAAGUGGGGGAUCGCAAGACCUCAUGCUCGUGGAGCGGCCGAUAUCUGAUUAGCUAGUUGGUGGGGUAAAGGCCUACCAAGGCAUCGAUCAGUAGCUGGUCUGAGAGGACGACCAGCCACACUGGGACUGAGACACGGCCCAGACUCCUACGGGAGGCAGCAGUGGGGAAUUUUGGACAAUGGGCGCAAGCCUGAUCCAGCAAUGCCGCGUGAGUGAAGAAGGCCUUCGGGUUGUAAAGCUCUUUUGUCAGGGAAGAAACGGUGGGGGCUAAUACCUUCUGCUAAUGACGGUACCUGAAGAAUAAGCACCGGCUAACUACGUGCCAGCA
This 470-nucleotide ribosomal RNA is filed under the name uncultured bacterium. RNAcentral describes it as "bacterial SSU rRNA". It matches the Rfam family "Bacterial small subunit ribosomal RNA", at positions 46 to 513 of the family's 1533-position model. The record is from RNAcentral.